AUCUAACUGAAGAGUCACAAAUAGAACGAAAAGCGCGUUCUGGAU
This 45-nucleotide non-coding RNA is filed under the name Schistosoma curassoni. Lineage: Eukaryota; Metazoa; Platyhelminthes; Trematoda; Strigeidida; Schistosomatidae. The record is from RNAcentral.